UACGUAGGGGGCUAGCGUUGUCCGGAAUCAUUGGGCGUAAAGCGCGUGUAGGCGGCCCGAUAAGUCCGCUGUGAAAGUCCAGGGCUCAACCCUGGGAUGCCGGUGGAUACUGUCGGGCUCGAGUCCGGAAGAGGCGAGUGGAAUUCCCAGUGUAGCGGUGAAAUGCGUAGAUAUUGGGAGGAACACCAGUGGCGAAGGCGGCUCACUGGACCGGUACUGACGCUGAUGCGCGAAAGCGUGGGGAGCAAACGGG
Molecule: ribosomal RNA, 253 nt
Filed under: uncultured bacterium
Lineage: Bacteria
Description: partial 16S ribosomal RNA
Rfam family: Bacterial small subunit ribosomal RNA
Source: RNAcentral